RNAcentral lists this transfer RNA (77 nucleotides) under Bifidobacterium moraviense. Its description in RNAcentral is "tRNA-Pro". It matches the Rfam family "tRNA". Rfam says of the family: Transfer RNA (tRNA) molecules are approximately 80 nucleotides in length. The record is from RNAcentral. Lineage: Bacteria; Bacillati; Actinomycetota; Actinomycetes; Bifidobacteriales; Bifidobacteriaceae.
CGGGCCAUAGCGCAGCUUGGUAGCGCGCCUGCUUUGGGAGCAGGAUGUCGCGGGUUCGAAUCCCGCUGGCCCGACCC